GUGUGUGCCAGAACAACCCUUGUGGCAAUUGGGGUACCUGUGUGGAUCAGCCAUAUUACUACCCCUACUACCGGUGCUACUGCAUCCCACCCUGGUCAGGCAGCAACUGCGAAAAUUACGCCACUGAAACUACCACUGAGCCUCCUACCACACCCAGUGUGUGCCAGAACAACCCUUGUGGCAAUUGGGGUACCUGUGUGGAUCAGCCAGACGACUAUCCCUACUACCGGUGCGACUGCAUCCCACCGUGGUAUGGCAGCAACUGCGAAUAUUAUGCCACUGAAACUACCACUGAGCCUCCUACCACUCCCAGUGAGU
Lethenteron reissneri (Far Eastern brook lamprey) is the source of this 318-nucleotide long non-coding RNA. RefSeq lists it as uncharacterized. NCBI's taxonomy places the organism in Eukaryota, Metazoa, Chordata, Hyperoartia, Petromyzontiformes, Petromyzontidae. The record is from RefSeq and is a predicted model, not a curated record.